UAAAACUUUCAACAACGGAUCUCUUGGCUCUGGCAUCGAUGAAGAACGCAGCGAAACGCGAUAAGUAAUGUGAAUUGCAGAAUCCAGUGAAUCAUCGAAUCUUUGAACGCACAUUGCGCCCGCCAGCAUUCUGGCGGGCAUGCCUGUUCGAGC
This 153-nucleotide ribosomal RNA is filed under the name Beauveria vermiconia. Its description in RNAcentral is "5.8S ribosomal RNA". It matches the Rfam family "5.8S ribosomal RNA". From Rfam's summary of the family: 5.8S ribosomal RNA (5.8S rRNA) is a component of the large subunit of the eukaryotic ribosome. The record is from RNAcentral. Lineage: Eukaryota; Fungi; Ascomycota; Sordariomycetes; Hypocreales; Cordycipitaceae. RNAcentral also lists the same sequence under 1 other name.